Molecule: ribosomal RNA, 426 nt
Filed under: uncultured Pseudomonadota bacterium
Lineage: Bacteria; Pseudomonadati; Pseudomonadota
Description: bacterial SSU rRNA
Rfam family: Bacterial small subunit ribosomal RNA
Source: RNAcentral
GGGGAAUAUUGGACAAUGGGCGCAAGCCUGAUCCAGCCAUACCGCGUGGGUGAAGAAGGCCUUCGAGUUGUAAAGCCCAUUUGUUGGGAAAGAAAUCCAGCCGGCUAAUACCUGGUUGGGAUGACGGUACCCAAAGAAUAAGCACCGGACAACUUAGUGCCAGCAGCCGCGGUAAUACGGAGGGUGCAAGCGUUAAUCGGAAUUACUGGGCGUAAAGCGCACGUAGGCUGCUUUGUAAGUCAGGGGUGAAAUCCCACGGCUCAACCGUGGAACUGCCUUUGAUACUGCUUAGCUUGAAUCCGGGAGAGGGUGGCGGAAUUCCAGGUGUAGGAGUGAAAUCCGUAGAUAUCUGGAGGAACAUCAGUGGCGAAGGCGGCCACCUGGACCAGUAUUGACGCUGAGGUGCGAAAGCGUGGGGAGCAAACA